AUUGAACGCUGGCGGCAUGCUUUACACAUGCAAGUCGAACGGUAACAGGCCUUCGGGUGCUGACGAGUGGCGAACGGGGGGGUAAUGCAUCGGAACGUGCCCAGCGGUGGGGGUUAAAGCAGCGAAAGCAGCGCUAAUACCGCACGUGAUCUGAGGAUGAAAGCGGGGGACCAAGCAGGAAUGUUUGGCCUCGCGGCUCUGGAGCGGCCGCUGUCGGAUUGGGUAGUUGGGGGGCUAAAGACCAACCAAGCGGACGAUCUGUAGCUGGUCUGAGAGGACGGCCGCCCACACUGGGACUGAGCCACGGCCCAUGGGCCUGAGGGACGCACCAGUGGGGAAUGUUGGGCAACAGGGGCGAGCCUUAUACAACGAGGCCGCGUGUGGGAAAGAGGCCUUCGGUGUGUAAACCGGUUUUUUACGGAACGAAAAGGCUCUGGCUAAUACCUGGGGCGGAUGACGGUACCGGAAGAAUAAGCACCGGCUAACUACGUG
RNAcentral lists this ribosomal RNA (492 nucleotides) under uncultured bacterium. RNAcentral's name for it is "partial 16S ribosomal RNA". It matches the Rfam family "Bacterial small subunit ribosomal RNA", at positions 29 to 507 of the family's 1533-position model. The record is from RNAcentral.